This 323-nucleotide ribosomal RNA is filed under the name uncultured eukaryote. RNAcentral's name for it is "partial 18S ribosomal RNA". It matches the Rfam family "Eukaryotic small subunit ribosomal RNA", at positions 1470 to 1796 of the family's 1831-position model. The record is from RNAcentral.
CCCUUAGAUGUUCUGGGCCGCACGCGUGCUACACUGAGUGGAUCAGCGGGUCAGGUUACGCGAGAGCGUUUCCUAAUCUUCAAAUCCGCUCGUGAUGGGGAUUGACGGUUGCAAUUUUCCGUCAUGAACGAGGAAUACCUUGUAAGCGCGGGUCAUCAUCCCGCGCUGAAUACGUCCCUGCCCUUUGUACACACCGCCCGUCGCUCCUACCGAUUGAAUGUGUUGGUGAGGAGCUCGGAUUGGCAGCAGUUGGUGGUUCGCCACCGGCUAUUGCUGAGAAGUCCUCCAAACCGCCCCAUUUAGAGGAAGGAGAAGUCGUAACA